AACGAACGCUGGCGGCAGGCCUAACACAUGCAAGUCGAGCGCGCCCUUCGGGGUGAGCGGCGGACGGGUGAGUAACGCGUGGGAACGUGCCCUUUUCUACGGAAUAGCCUCGGGAAACUGAGAGUAAUACCGUAUACGCCCUUUGGGGGAAAGAUUUAUCGGAAAAGGAUCGGCCCGCGUUGGAUUAGGUAGUUGGUGGGGUAAUGGCCUACCAAGCCGACGAUCCAUAGCUGGUUUGAGAGGAUGAUCAGCCACACUGGGACUGAGACACGGCCCAGACUCCUACGGGAGGCAGCAGUGGGGAAUCUUAGGCAAUGGGGGCAACCCUGAUCUAGCCAUGCCGCGUGAGUGAUGAAGGCCUUAGGGUUGUAAAGCUCUUUCAGCUGGGAAGAUAAUGACGGUACCAGCAGAAGAAGCCCCGACUAACUCCGUG
This 433-nucleotide ribosomal RNA is filed under the name uncultured bacterium. Its description in RNAcentral is "partial 16S ribosomal RNA". It matches the Rfam family "Bacterial small subunit ribosomal RNA", at positions 29 to 507 of the family's 1533-position model. The record is from RNAcentral.